CUGCCCCUCUCCAUUGCUCCGUUUUCUUGUCCAUUACGCGCUAUCCCUCCGCCUCUCCUUCUUUCUUUUCUUUUCUUUUUUUCCCUUCUCCUUUUCCCCCCUCUCUCCCCCUUUCUCCAGCUCCGUGUCAUUUCCUCCUUGCGCUCGCUCGCUGCCUGAGCGUCUCCAGCCGGGAGAGUAGGCGGAGCAGGGCGGUGCGGGGUGGCGUAGAGCUGGAGGGCGAUGGUGGCGGAGCUGCUGGGGGCGGAGGCAACGUAGCCCCCUCGGAAAAGGAGCCCGGCGGCGCCUGAGCCCAGCCGAGGAUGGAGAACCGGCCUGGGUCCUUCCAGUACGUCCCUGUGCAGCUGCAAGGGGGGGCACCCUGGGGCUUCACCCUUAAGGGGGGUCUGGAACACUGCGAGCCGCUCACAGUGUCUAAGAUUGAAGAUGGAGGCAAGGCAGCUUUGUCCCAGAAGAUGAGGACUGGUGAUGAGCUGGUGAAUAUCAAUGGCACUCCAUUAUAUGGCUCCCGCCAAGAGGCCCUCAUUCUCAUCAAAGGCUCCUUCCGGAUUCUCAAGCUGAUUGUCAGGAGGAGGAACGCCCCUGUCAGUAGGCCGCACUCAUGGCAUGUGGCCAAGCUGCUGGAGGGAUGCCCUGAAGCAGCCACCACCAUGCAUUUCCCUUCUGAAGCCUUCAGCUUGUCCUGGCAUUCCGGCUGCAACACAAGUGACGUGUGUGUGCAGUGGUGUCCACUCUCCCGGCAUUGCAGCACCGAGAAAAGCAGCUCCAUUGGCAGCAUGGAGAGCCUGGAGCAACCAGGCCAAGCCACCUAUGAGAGCCAUCUGUUGCCUAUUGACCAGAACAUGUACCCUAACCAGCGUGACUCAGCCUACAGCUCCUUCUCGGCCAGCUCAAAUGCUUCUGACUGUGCCCUUUCCCUCAGGCCAGAGGAGCCAGCCUCUACAGACUGCAUCAUGCAAGGCCCAGGGCCAACUAAGGCCCCCAGUGGCCGGCCUAAUGUGGCUGAGACCUCAGGAGGUAGUCGGCGCACCAAUGGGGGCCACCUGACCCCCAGCUCUCAGAUGUCAUCCCGUCCACAGGAGGGAUACCAGUCAGGGCCCGCCAAAGCAGUCAGGGGCCCACCACAACCUCCAGUGAGGCGGGACAGCCUUCAGGCCUCCAGAGCCCAACUCCUCAAUGGAGAGCAGCGCAGGGCAUCUGAACCUGUGGUCCCCUUGCCACAGAAGGAGAAACUGAGCUUAGAGCCUGUGCUACCCGCAAGGAACCCUAAUAGGUUCUGUUGUCUCAGUGGGCAUGACCAAGUGACAAGUGAGGGCCAUCAGAAUUGUGAGUUCAGUCAGCCUCCUGAAUCCAGCCAACAGGGCUCUGAGCAUCUACUGAUGCAGGCCUCAACCAAAGCUGUUGGAUCCCCAAAAGCCUGUGACAGAGCUUCCAGCAUGGAUUCCAACCCACUCAAUGAGGCUUCUGCAGAGCUAGCUAAGGCUUCUUUUGGCAGACCUCCACAUCUCAUAGGACCCAUAGGGCAUCGCCAUAGUGCCCCUGAACAGCUGCUGGCAUCCCACCUGCAGCAUGUGCACCUUGAUACCAGGGGCAGCAAAGGGAUGGAGCUCCCACCCGUACAGGAUGGGCACCAGUGGACUCUGUCCCCUUUGCACAGCAGCCACAAAGGGAAGAAAAGUCCAUGCCCCCCUACAGGAGGAACCCAUGACCAGUCCAGCAAAGAAAGAAAGACCAGACAAGUGGAUGACAAGUCUUUAGUUUUCGGACACCAGAGCCAAAGCAGUCCCCCACAUGGAGAGGCUGAUGGACACCCCUCAGAAAAAGGUUUCCUGGACCCAAACAGAACAAGCAGAGCAGCCAGUGAAUUGGCCAACCAGCAACCCUCUGCCUCUGGCUCCCUUGUUCAACAAGCCACGGACUGUUCUUCAACCACUAAAGUAGCUAGUGGCACAGAGGCAGGUGAAGAAGGGGACAGCGAGCCCAAGGAGUGCAGCCGGAUGGGUGGUAGACGAAGUGGAGGGACCCGGGGCCGCUCGAUCCAAAACCGGCGGAAGAGUGAGCGUUUUGCUACCAAUCUGCGUAAUGAAAUUCAGAGGAGGAAGGCCCAGCUCCAGAAAAGCAAGGGUCCCUUGUCACAGCUGUGUGACACUAAGGAGCCAGUGGAAGAGACCCAGGAGCCCCCAGAAAGUCCUCCACUCACUGCCUCUAACACAUCUCUUCUAUCUUCAUGUAAAAAACCUACCAGCCCCAGAGACAAGCUCUUCAACAAAAGCAUGAUGCUCAGAGCUAGGUCUUCCGAGUGCCUCAGCCAAGCCCCUGAGAGCCAUGAAUCUAGGACAGGCUUAGAGGGACGAAUAAGCCCUGGCCAGAGGCCUGGCCAGUCCUCUUUGGGCCUGAACACCUGGUGGAAAGCACCUGACCCAUCCUCCUCAGACCCUGAGAAAGCACCUGCUCACUGUGGAGUCCGUGGAGGUCAUUGGAGAUGGUCUCCAGAGCAUAAUUCACAGCCACUUGUGGCAGCAGCCAUGGAAGGCCCUUCCAACCCAGGUGACAACAAGGAAUUGAAGGCUUCUACUGCUCAAGCUGGGGAGGAUGCCAUCCUCUUGCCUUUUGCAGACAGAAGAAAGUUCUUUGAAGAGAGUAGCAAAUCCUUAUCUACAUCUCAUUUGCCAGGUUUAACCACUCAUAGCAACAAGACUUUUACCCAGAGACCGAAACCUAUAGACCAAAACUUCCAGCCAAUGAGCUCCAGCUAUAGGGAAUUGAGGCGCCAUCCCAUGGACCAAUCAUAUCAUUCCGCAGACCAACCAUAUCAUGCCACAGACCAAUCAUAUCAUUCCAUGUCACCCCUUCAGUCAGAACCUCCCACUUACUCAGAAUGUUUUGCAAGCAAAGGUCUAGAAAAUUCCAUGUGUUGUAAGCCACUACACUGUGGUGAUUUUGAUUACCACAGGACCUGCUCUUACUCCUGCAGUGUUCAAGGAGCUCUAGUCCAUGAUCCUUGCAUUUAUUGUUCUGGGGAAAUCUGCCCUGCCUUGCUAAAGAGAAAUAUGAUGCCAAAUUGCUACAACUGCCGGUGCCACCACCACCAAUGCAUUCGGUGUUCAGUUUGCUAUCAUAAUCCUCAGCACAGUACCCUCGAGGACAGCAGCUUGGCACCUGGCAACACUUGGAAACCCAGGAAGCUGACAGUGCAGGAAUUUCCUGGGGACAAAUGGAAUCCAAUAACAGGAAACAGGAAGACCAGCCAGUCAGGGAGGGAAAUGGCUCAUUCCAAGACUAGCUUUUCAUGGGCAACCCCUUUCCAUCCUUGCCUUGAGAACCCAGCACUGGACUUGUCAAGCUACCGAGCAAUUUCUUCUCUUGACCUCCUUGGAGACUUCAAACAUGCUUUGAAAAAAUCAGAGGAAACUUCAGUUUAUGAGGAGGGGAGCUCCCUUGCCUCCAUGCCCCACCCACUGCGCAGCCGUGCCUUCUCAGAGAGUCACAUCAGCUUGGAGCCCCAAAGCACCCGGGCCUGGGGGCAGCAUAGGAGGGAGCUCUUUAGCAAAGGUGAUGAGACCCAGUCGGAUCUUCUCGGAGCCAGGAAGAAGGCCUUUCCUCCUCCUCGCCCUCCUCCUCCCAACUGGGAGAAGUACAGGCUCUUUCGUGCAGCCCAGCAGCAGAAGCAGCAACAGCAGCAGCAACAGCAGCAGCAGAAGCAACAGGAGGAGGAGGAGGAGGAAGAAGAAGAAGAAGAGGAAGAGGAGGAGGAGGAGGCAGAGGAGGAGGAAGAGGAGCUGCCACCCCAGUAUUUCAGUUCAGAAACCUCUAGUUCCUGUGCUCUCAAUCCUGAGGAGGUCCUAGAGCAGCCACAACCCCUCAGCCUUGGCCACCUGGAGGGCUCGAGACAGGGUUCACAAAGUGUCCCAGCAGAGCAAGAAUCCUUUGCACUCCAUUCCAGUGAUUUCUUGCCUCCAAUAAGGGGUCACUUGGGAUCUCAACCUGAGCAGGCUCAGCCCCCUUGCUACUAUGGCAUUGGUGGGCUUUGGAGGACAUCGGAACAGGAAGCCACUGAAUCCGCCAAACAAGAGUUUCAGCACUUUUCGCCUCCUCCAGGGGCCCCAGGAAUCCCUACCUCUUACUCAGCUUAUUACAAUAUUUCUGUGGCCAAGGCAGAGCUGCUGAACAAACUGAAAGACCAACCUGAGAUGGCAGAGAUUGGCCUAGGAGAGGAGGAAGUUGACCAUGAACUGGCUCAAAAAAAGAUACAGCUUAUCAAAAGCAUCAGCAGAAAACUUUCUGUCUUGCGGGAGGCCCAGCGAGGGCUGCUAGAGGACAUCAAUGCCAAUUCUGCCCUUGGGGAGGAGGUGGAGGCCAACUUAAAAGCCGUCUGCAAAUCCAAUGAAUUUGAAAAGUACCACUUGUUUGUUGGGGACCUGGACAAAGUGGUCAACCUGUUGCUGUCACUCUCUGGACGACUGGCCCGGGUGGAGAAUGCUCUGAACAGCAUCGAUUCAGAGGCCAACCAGGAGAAGUUGGUGCUGAUAGAGAAGAAGCAGCAGCUGACGGGGCAGUUGGCAGAUGCCAAGGAGCUGAAGGAGCACGUGGACCGCCGGGAGAAGUUGGUGUUUGGCAUGGUCUCCCGCUACCUGCCUCAGGACCAGCUCCAAGAUUACCAGCACUUUGUCAAGAUGAAAUCUGCUCUCAUCAUUGAACAGCGAGAGCUGGAGGAGAAGAUCAAGCUCGGGGAAGAGCAACUCAAAUGUCUCAGGGAGAGUCUACUCCUGGGGCCCAGCAAUUUCUAAUUCUACCAGCACUCUGCCACAGCAUCCCUGCCCAGCCAUGAGGGAAGUGCUUUCAAUCUUCUUUGUUAGCAGUUUCUCAGCAAGUAGAUAGCAAUUAGCAGUUUGUUCCAGCCCUCUACCCUGGAUGUCUCUCACUACCCCUUCCCUAGCAGUGGUCCUAACCAGCUAGGAGACCCUGGGGAAGCCACAAGCUUCUACCCAAGGGAGCUGCAGCAAGGUGUGAUCUUAGAACCACACUCUCCUUCCCACAGUUGCCAAGGGCAAGUACUUGCUGCACAGAGAACCAAGGAAGUGCCUUCAUUCUGCUUUGUACUAGGACACCAAAGACAUCAAGUACUCAUCAUCCACCCAUAUCAUCAACAGCCUCUAAAGGCUCAGAGGGAAUCUGCCUUGCAGCUCUACUCUGCCUCAGGGCUUGUGGCCAGCCAUUUCUCACAGAGAGCUGGCUGCCUUGAGGGCAUUCACCUGGCACCAGUUUCAGGGCCUCACCCAAGCUUUGCAGGGGAAAGCACAGAGGGAGGAAUUACACUGAAAAAAUGCAAGCAAAGGUUGAGUACCCCCAGGUGCCCCUUAGGAAGGAACCAGGUUUAAAUAGGCUCUACCCUUACCUUUCCCAGCAGCAAGUUCAGGGGAAGAGGCCUACUCUUAGCCCUGGCUAGCGUGACCCUCUUCCUGUCCUAAGACUUUGGUCCUACCACCUCUUGUUUCAUCUUUCCUUUACAUUGCUGGGGGUUACCGCAGGUGCCUACCCCAGGGCUUCACCAUAUGGGCCAUUAAUAGCUCUACUAAAACUGACUUCUAGAUGUAGGUUUCAUUACUGGGGGAGGGGGUUCUUAUUGUUAUAUUUUAAAUGGCCUUUUGAUUUUAUUUAUUUUUAUGUUUUGAUUAUUUUUUUUCUUUUUUUAACUAAUAAGGCGAGAAGAGGGAAGUUGGAGAGGGAAAAGUUAGCCCAGAAGGAAAGCAUUUUCUGCAGAUCAGCCUGAAUCCACCGUGGCUAGGCAUAUUCUUGCUCUUCUCGUGUUGCUCACAACUACCUGCCUGGAUGAAUUUAGGAAAGUUGCAGGAUACAACGUUAAAACACACGAUCAAAUGAACAAUCCGAAAAUGUUAUUAAGAAAACAGUUCCGGCCGGGCGUGGUGGCUCAUGCCUGAAAUCCCAGCACUUUGGGAGGCCGAGGCAGGUGGAUCACGAGGUCAGGAGAUCAAGACCAUCCUGGCUAACACGGUGAAACCCUAUCUCUACUAAAAAUACAAAAAAAUUAGCCAGGUGUGGUGGCAUGCACCAGUAGUCCCAGCUACUCGGGAGGCUGAGGCAGGAGAAUUGCUUGAACCUGGAAGGCAGAGAUUGCAGUGAGCUGAGACCGCACCACUGCACUCCAGCCUGGGCAACAGAGUGAGACUCUGUCUCAAAAAGAAAGAAAGAAAGAAAACAGUUCCAUUUACAAUAGCAUCAAAAAGAAAAAAAGUACUUAGGAAUAAUUUAACAAAAGAAGUGCGAAACUUUUACACUGAAAACUAUAAAACAUUGUUGAAAGAGAUUAGAGAAGAUCAAAAUAAAUGGAAAGACACUCCAUGUUCAUGGAUUGGAAGACUUAGUAUUGUUAAGAUGAAAUGUGCCCCAAAUUGAUCUACAGAUUCAAUCCAAUGCUUAUCAGAAUUCCAGUGGCUUCCUUGCGUAAGUUGACAAGCUGCUUCUAAAAUUCAUAUGGAAUUACAAGGGACCCAGAACAGUCAAAACAAUCUUUAAAAAGAACAGUUGGAGGGCUCAUACAGCCCAACUUCAAAACUUACUGCAAAACUACAGUAAUCAAGACAGUGUGGUACAGACACAAGGGUAGGUGUAUAAAUAAAUGGAAUUAAAUUGAGAGUCCAGAAAUAAAUCCUCAUGUAUAUGGCUAGUUAAUUUCAACAAGGGUCCCAAGAGAAAUUGAGGAGAGAAUAGUUUUUUAACAAAUGAUGCUGAGACAACUGGGUAUCUACAUGGGAAAAAAUGAAGUUUUCCUUAAAUCACAUGCAAGAAUCAACUCAAAAUGGAUUAUAGAAUGUGAGAGUCAAAAUUAUAAAAUUCUUAGAAGAAAACAUUGUAGUAAGUCUUCCUAAUGUUAAGACGAUUUGCACAAGUGAUACAAGAAAUAGAAAUAAAUUGGAGUAAAUCAAAAUUAAAAACUUUUGUGCUAAAAAUAUACCAUAUAAAAAAGUGAAAAGACAAGCAACAUAAUGGGAGAAAAUAUUUGCAUAUCAGAUACUUCAAAAUAUGAAAAGGACUCUUACAACUCAAUGAUAAAAAUAACCAAUUAAAAAUGGGUUAACAGAUUGUAAUAGACAUUUCUUCAAAGAAAAUAUGUGUUUUAGUAUGCUUGGGUUGCUAUAACAUACUACCAUAGACUGAUUGGCUUAAAUAACAUUUAUUUCUCACAGUCCUGGAGACUGGGAAAUCAGAGAUCAAGAUGCCAGCAGAUUCAAUGCCUUGUGAGGGCCCACUUUAUGGUUUGCAGAUGGCUACCUUGUGGCUGUGUCCUCAGCAAAGACAGAAAGGGAUCUGGUCUCGGCCAGGCGUGGUGGCUCACGCCUGUAAUCCCAGCACUUUGGGAGGCCGAGGCGGGCGGAUCAGGAGGUCAGGAGAUCGCAACCAUCCUGGCUAACAUGGUGAAACCCCAUCUCUACUAAAAAAAUACAAAAAAAUUAGCAGGGCAUGGUGGCAGGUGCCUGUAGUCCCACCUAGUCGGGAGGCUGAGGCAGGAGAAUGGCGUGAACCCAGGAGGCGGAGCUUGCAGUGAGCGGAGAUUGAGCCACUGCACUCCAGCCUGGGUGACUGAGCGAGAUUCUGUCUCAAAAAAAAGAAAGGGAUCUGGUCUCUUCCCCUUCUUAUAAGGGCAUUAUAAUUUCAUUAUGAAUGCCUACUCUUGUGACUUCAUCUAAACCAAUUUACCUCUCAAAGGCCCCACCUCCAUAUGCCAUCACAUUGGGGAUUAGGGCUUCAGCAUAUGAGUUUGGAGAGGACACAAACAUUCAGCUUAUAGCAAUAUGCAACUGGCUAGCAAGCACAGGGAAAAAUGCUCAAGCACUACUAUUCAUUAGGGAAAUGCAAAUCAAGACCACAAUGAGAUACCACUUCAUACCCACUAGAAUAGCUAUAUCAAAAAGCCAAACAAUAACAAGUGUUGGUGAGGAAAUGAAGAAAUUGGAACACUCAUACAUUGCUGAUGGGGAUGUAAAUUGAUGCAACCUCAUUGAAAAACAGCUUGGCAGUUUCUCCAAAUGUUAAACAUAGAAUUUCCACAUGACUUAGCAAUUCCAUUCCUAGGUAUAUACCCAAGAGAAUUGGAAACAGGUGUUCAAACAAAAGCGUGAACAUGAAUGUUUAAAGUGGCAUUACUCAUAAUAGCCAAAAAGUGGAAAUGACCCAAAUGUCCAUCCACUGAGGAAUGGAUAAACAAACUUUGAUAUAUGCAUACAGUAGGGUAUUAUUUAGCCAUAAAAAUGGAUAAAAUACUGAUACAUGUAACAUUGAUGAACCUUGAAAAUAUGCUAAGUGAAAGGAGCCAAUCACAAAAGACCACAUAUUGUAUGAUUUAAUUUAUAUGAAAUGUCCCAAACAGGUAAAUCUAUAAAGGUAGAAAGCAGAUUAGUGGUUGUCAAGGCUGGGGGCUCAGGGGCAAUAGGCAUGGGGUUUCUUUUGUGGAUGAUGAAAAUAUUAUAAAAUUAGAUUGUCAUCAUGGUUGUCCAACUCUGUGAAUGUACUGGAAACCAUUGAAGUAUACAUUUUAAAUGGGUGUGCUAAAUGGUAUAUGAAUUAUUUCUCAAUAAGUGUGUUUUUUAAAAAAAGCUAUUGAUUAUUUCCAUCAGUCUCAUUCCUCUUGACAAAAAUCUGAGUUGAUGGUGAGCAUGUACUUCAUUCCUGACUCCAAAGGGUACAAUAUUUACAAUAUUUGAAUUUGGGAGUGACUUUACUAUUACAACCUUCCCCUUGAAGACCUGGAAGACCCAGCAACAUAAGGACAAACAGUAGUCUCAGCCUUGUACUAAGACUUCAGCAAAAAUAAGAGAGAUGGGAGGGACUACUAUUGGGAAGGAGGGGCAAUAUUUCUAGGCAAAUAUUGUGGUAGAAUGGAUAAGAGCUUCGGCUCAUUGGGCAAAUAAACCAAGUUUUAAAUCCCGAUUCUACCAAUUUACUAUGUCACCUUAAUAAGUUACUUGACUCCUCUCAACCUUAAUACCUUCAUCUACAGAAGGGGGCUAAUAAAAGCCCCACCUCGAAGUGUUACUAUGAUGAUUAAAAGAUAAUUCACAUGAAGCACUUAAAAUAAUGUCUGCCAUGUAGUAAGUAUUUGAUAAAUGUUAGCUGCUAGAUUUAUUUUUAUUGAGGUGAGAUUGAAGUAGAACAAUAUAAGGAAAAGUAAAGCAUCUUCAGCUUUGGAGUCAGACAGCUCUGUUAAUGUGACCUUGGAAGUCACUUUAUUUAUUGAGCCUUAGCAAAUAAUGAGGAUAGUAAUCCUUCUCUUAUGGAGGCAGUUCCAAGCCUGGACACUGGAACCCACACCACGUGGGUUUUCAUACUGGCUCCACCACUUACACAUUGUGUAACCUUGAGCAUGUUUAACUUCCCUGUACCUGGAUGUCCUUUUCUGUCAAAUGGUGGAAACAAAAAUACAUCCUUGUGUUGUGAGGAAUUAUUGAGUUAAUCCAUGCAAAGUACUUAGGACAAUAAGUACCCAAUGAAUGUUAACUUUUAUUAUAAAGCUAAAGUAGGAAUCAAAUGAGGUCUCUGGUAGAGCUGUUCAUAUGGUAGGUUCUCCGUAGAUGAUGGUUCCUUUCCUUACCUACCCUGCUGUGUGCACCAGGUCAAGAUUUUUUGGACCUGCAGAUAAAAUGUUUCAGCCUUAGGAGUUCCCCACUGUAAGUAAAAUUUUCUGGCAAGCUCAAUACUACCAUCUGAUGAGAACAAUGUAGUCUGUUAGCUGCCUGCAAGAUGACUGUCUAUACUCCCAAGAAAACACCCCCUUCAGAGCAAUAGAGAAGGAACUGUUUUGCAUGUGGACCACUUAAGGUCCAAUUUGAGGCUGGUUUGGGGAAAACAUCCACUCCUCCUCAAACCUAUCUUUAGACUUAAAGUCAACUUAAAUGUCACUGAGUUUCCCACCCUGGGUUAAGCACUUUCACUUAUCUUUGCUUACACUAUUUUUCUAUCUAAACAUACAUUUUUAAAGCAGAAAUCCUCAUUUAAUCUUUAAAACAGAUCUGUGAUUUUGAAACACUAUUUAAUCAAAAUUCAGAAUUGUGGUAGCAUUUUUGCUGUUUGUAAGUUAAACAAAAUAGAUUGUAAGUGUGCAAUGCCAUUCAUUCAUGCAACUAAUGUGCCAAUAAUUUGUUUUGUGCUUCAGGGAUUCAGAAGUGGACAAGAUAGACAAAGUCCCCACUCUCGUGGGGCUUUUAUCCUAAUGAAAGAGAUAGAUAAGUAUAAAUAUACAAUUACAUAAUACUUUAUAUACAGAAAUAUACACACAAUCACUUUUUACCCUGGUAUGGCAAUGUGAAACAUUCUUCCUUGAUUUCUUCAGCUAUGUGCAAUAGGCUAAACUCAUGAAUCUCUUUGCUACUGCAGUAACUAAAAUAUUUUUUGCAUUAAUUUUCACCAGAGAAUAAUGUUUCAGUGAACAUGAGAGUGCAGAUAUCUCUUCGAGAUACUGAUUUCAUUUCCUUUGGGUAUUUACCCAGAAGAAGAAUCUCUGCAUCAUAUGGUCAUCGUAUUCUUAAUAUUUUGAGGAAUAUACACUAUUUUCCAAAAUGGGGUACUAAUUUACAUUCCCACCAACAAUGUACCAGGGUUUCCUUUCCUCCAUACCCUCAUCAACAUUCGUUAUCCCUUGCCUUUUUGAUAAAAGCCUGCUAUUUAUGACAAAAUGGAUGAACCCGGAGGGUAUUAUGCUAAGUGAAAUAAACCAGACACAGAAAGAAAAAUACUGUGUAAUCUCAUAUGUGGAAGCUAAAAAAGUCAAACACACAGGGGGAUGGAGGUGGAAGAAAUGAGGAUGUUGGUCAAAGCUACAAAGUUGCAGUUACAUAAGAUGUAUAAAUCUAGAGAUCUCAUGUACAGCAUAAGUUCUAUAGUUAAUAAUGCUGUAUUGAAUACUGGAAAUUUUCUAAGAGUAGAUUUCAGGUGCUCUUACUGCAAAAGAGGGUAAUUAUGUGAGGAAAUGCAUAUUUAAUUUGCAUGACUGUAGCAAUCAUUUCACUAUGUAUAUGGAUGUCAAAACAUCAUUUGUACACCUUAAAUAUAUACAAUAAAAGAUUUUCACCAAAGAUAUUUUCUCCAUAGGAUUUGUGAUGAGAUUUUUAAAAAAUUGUCUAGCAAAAGGAUGACAAACUAUCACUGAAGAGGUAGGAUUUGAAAGUAGUUUAGACAGAAAGGUUGAAUUCCACUCUUGAUAGAGAAAAUCAAUUCAUGUCACGUGGAAAUCUUGUCCAUUCUGGGCAACAUUCAAACAUGGCCAAAGACUAAGGGGUUCUGGCAAAAGCUCCUCUCCUCCUGAGCAGUGUAAACAUUAACAGACCACAUUCUGUUUGUAAACUGCUUAAGUUUCUUCAAUAUGACCCUUCAUUCUGGAGUUGCUUACUGCCAUUAACAGAGUAAAAUAACAUGGCUUUGAAUUCCCAUUUUCCUCCCAGCUACUUAUUUUCUAUCUGAAAAGGAUAAUUAAUGGAACUCACCUCCCUGGGUGUUGAGUUGAUUCUAUUUUUUGCAAAGGAAAAAAUCUGGGAAAAGGCCAUGAGUAAAAAAUCUUUCCAGCUUGAAAAUGCAUUAGAUUAAAUGUGAAUAAGUCAAAGUGCUGAAAAAAUAACAACUUGUUCCCUGAUUUCUCCUCAGUUUUAAAUUUGAUAAAGAUGAAAAAGCAGACCAAACUCAGCAGAUACAAUAAAUGAUAACUUAUAAUUGAGAGAAAACUCUUAUUUGGGCUAAACUUAAACAGCUACUGUUUAGAAGUCUCAUAAAUGACUAUAUAUUUAAGCACCUUUUACAAAUAUGGAACCUUUAGUUUUCUUUUAGAAAAGUGGGCAGUGGUAAGAGUGAGGAGAGGCAGAUAGAAAAGAGUAAUGAGAUUGUGGAUAAAUUAGAUAAUACUAUGCAUUUAGAACAUAAUUUUGGACACUUUCUCACAGGCUGGUAGAUAUUUUGCUCUAUCAAAUAAGCCUGUCAUAAAACUCAGACCGUUACUAAAACCUUUUAUUAAAAAAAAAUCCAGUUUUGACAAAAGAUAACCCAAACCAAGUCUGUUAUUGAAGCAAUCUCUGAGUGAGAAAAACCAUGUAUCUUUGGGAGCUCGCUGGAAUGGCACUCAAAACCCUUAGACCUGGACGCAGUUCUGCCCUUCUCACUCUGUGACCUCGUGCUCUUUUAUCAGUUUUGUGAAGAGGAUAUUUUGGUGGCUAUUAAACUGAAGAACAAACACCCUGCCUAGCUGCAUAACACCAUGCUCCAAAUUUCGCCUCCAAAUUGCACACUGGCCCAGCUCCCUCUAAUUGACCUGGCUGCCCAGAGGAUGAAGUCCUGAUUCUUGCAUAUAAGGCCCUUCAUGUUCUGUCUCCUGUGUGCUUCUCCAGCUAUGACCCCUAACACCUUCUCACACUCAUCCUUAGCUCUAGCUGGUUCUGCAAAUGUGUCAUGCAGUCUCAUCCCUCUAUACACUCAAAAAGGCUGGUCCCUCUACCUGAAAAUCCACCACCCCACUCCCUGAGUUCCCUAUUUAGCCAAUUCCAGCAUGUCCUUUGGUGUCAACUCAGAUUUCACAUCCUUCAGAAACAUCCUGUUGAUAUACUAAUAACAGUGUGUGGUAUUCGGAUAUGAUCAUUGUUUACACUUUCUGUCUCUCCCUUUAGGCUGUGGGCUUCUUGAGGGCAGAAACUAAUUUAUACCACUAACACUUAGCACAGUGCCCCAAGCUCAUAGUAAACACCUCAGAAAUACAUGGUAGUAACAAUUCACGAAGGCUUUGCUGUGGGCUUCAUAUUUGUGGUGAUAUCUUACACUGGCUUAUCCUCCUCAAUACAAUCAUUAAAUGUUGGACUUUCUUAAAACUUGGUCCUAGGCCCCUCUUCUCUUCUUGCUGUAUGCUCUUGCCCAACUCUCUUUCUUAAUCAUACAUACCCAUGAUUAGUUAAUCUCCCAUAUAAAGCUGGCUCCCAAAUUUAUAUCUCCAGUUCAUAUUUUUUCAUAGCUCCAAAACUUUUUAUCUGGUUGGCUCAAUGACACCCCAAAACCCAAAUAUUAAUGUAUCCAAAAUUAAACAUUUGAUUUUCCCCUCCCGAACCUGAUUCCCUCUAGUGUUCUUUAUAUCUCAGUGAUUAAUACUCCUCUCCAACCAACUAGGAAAGCUAGAAGUCCUAGAGUAAUCCCAGACAUCCUCCUCUUUCUCACCCCUUCCAUAUAGAAUUGAUCACCAAGUCCUAUCAAUUCUGUCUCCUAAAUAUGUCUCAAAUCUAUUCACUUAUUUUUCCACAACUAUUAUCCUCUGAACUACACCAUUAGCCUAACUAUUCUUCUUAUGCCAUUUCUUGCUUUCUGUAGACUGUUGUUCAUGCUGUAGCCAGGGUGAUCUUGCCAAAACCCAAAUAUGAUUAUAUCACCCCUUCUCCUGUCUAGGUCAUUUUAAUAGGUUUCAAAGCCCUUUCCAUUGCCUGUGAGGCUCUGCAUGCCCAUCUAUGCCUAAUGAUGUACCAACAUCAGCUUCAACCUCAUUAUCUGGGCAAACCUGCUUUUCAGAUUCAUUUAUAGCUUUGGCUUUGAUAUUUAAAGACUGAAUAGCCAAAUAUCUUCUUCAGCAUUGAAUUACUUAGCUUUUGCUGCAGCAGCCAAUGACCCUCAGUUUUCAGUGGUUUGCAACAACAAACAUUUUCUUUUCAUCUCACGUGAAGGCUAAUGGCUAGCUACAACUUUGCUGGCCUUGGCUGGGUUCAGGUACCAUCAUGAAUCUUCUGAUUCAGGGACUGAAGAUGAAAGAUCCGCAACUCUCUUGGGCACAUGUUUCUCCUUUUGGAAGUCAAAAGCUCAAGAGAGACAGAGCCAAACCAUGAAAGGAUAUUUAAGUGGCUGCUCUGAUGUAGGGUAUAUCAUGCCCAUUGUAUUAGUUUUCUAUUAUAACAUUACCACAAACUCAGUAGCUUAAAACAACACAUAUUUAUUACUUCACAGUUUCUGUGGGUCAGAUGUCUGAGCAUAACUUAACUGUGUCCUCUACUUAACAGUUUCACAAAGCUGCAGUCAAGGUGUCAGCCAGGCUGCAAUCUCAUCUGAAGGCUUGACUGUGGAAGAAUCUGCUUCCAAGCUCACUCAUAUUGUUGGCAGAUACAUUUUCUUGUGGCUGUAGAGCUGAGGGCACUGCUUUCUGACUAUCAGCUGAAGACUACCUUCAGAUCCUAAAGGCCACCCUCACCUCCUAGUGGCUGCCUGCAGUUCCUAGAUGCUGCUCAGAGUUCCUAGAAGCCUUGCCACAGUUCCUUAUAAUGUGGCAACAUGGCUGCUUACUUCAUCAAGCUAGUAAGGAGAGUCUCUAAAGUGAAUCUGAUAGUAAGACUAGAUCAUAUAGAAUGUAAUAUAAUCACAAAUUAGACAUUUUAUCACCUUUGCCAUAUUCUAUCAUUUAGAAGCAUGUCACAGGUCCAUCACACUCAAGGGGAGAGGAUUGUACCAGGGCAUGAAUACUAGGAGGUGAGGAACAUGGAGGCCAUCCUAGAGUCUGCACAUCACAUCUACUUACAUUCUAUUGACUAAAGCAAGUCACUGACUAGCCAGUCCUAAGGACAAUUGGACACUAAGGUAUACUCUACCUAUAGGGUGGGGACGAAAUGAAUAAUUUUUAACAAAUAAUACAAUCUACCAAAACCAUUAUUUCUGACAUUCUUAAACUUGUGCAUGAUCAAUGAUCAGGUGAUCACCUAGGCUACUGCAUAAUAAUGACAGUAAUAUGAAUAAUGGAAGUCAUUUGGAGUUAUUAAUAUUUUAAUAUUCACUUUAAAACAUAGUUAAGCAUUCUAGACAAAACUAGGGAGAAAAUCUCUUAUGUUCUAUAUAUUUUAAUUCUGUCAAUCCGUUGAAAAAUAAAUGUGUAUCUUUGAAAGAAUAAAAUACAAUAAUGCUGAUUGUAAGAACUGUUAAAUUUAUCUCCAUAAAACUUAACUUCCAAAUAGUUAAAUAUGGAAGUAGAUUGGUAGUUAAUAUAAAUUAUGAGAGCAUACACUCACUAAAUAACCUUAGGGAGAAUAUUAUAUCAAUUUUGAGACAGUCUUUGAAAACUUUAAAUAAUAGAGGUUCAAGUAUAUUAUAAUUUUAAACUAUAGACUUGGUUGAGGUGUUAGCAUUCACAAUAGUAACCAAAAUAACCUUUAUGUACAUAUUAAAUUUUAGUUAAUCAUUUCAUGAUUCCUUUAGGAAAAAAUCUUAUUUGGGAAUUUUUCACAUCUUAUGAGGAUGACUUAAAACCAGUGUCAAUCCAAAUUUUUCAAGGAAGAGAAAUCUCCAAAAUGGAGGUUAAGAGAAUCUUUCCAAAGGAAGUAACAAUUCAGUUAAAACCUGAAAGAGUUAGCUAGGCAAAAGUGAAGUGAAGAAGGAGAGGGAACAAUCCGGGUAGAGGGAGUGUCAUAUGAGAGACCAAGAAUGCUGAAUACAAGUCAAAGGGGUUGAAGUGCUGAGGAGGUAUAUUCCUUUACUAUGAUGCCACAACUGAAUGGCUUAAAAUGACUCACAUUUACUAUCUCAUAGUUUUUCAUGUCAAGGCACAGCUUAGCUGGGUCCUCUGUAAGACUGCAAUCAAGGUCUUGGUCAGGGCUGGGCUCUCAUUUAGAGGCUUGACAGGGGAAGGAUCCACUUCCAAGCUCACUCUAGUUGUGAGCAGUUCCUUUCCUUGUGGCUUUAAGACUUAUGGCUGGCUGCUUUUUCCAAACAAGCAAUGGAGAGAGAAAGACUCUAAAAUCAGCUAGCAAGAUGGAGUCAUAUAUUGUAAUCACAGGAGUGACAUCCCAUCACCUUUGCCAUAUUCUAUUGUUUAGAAUCAAGCCACACUUCCCACUUACACUCCAGGGGAGGGGAUUAUACAGGGGUGUGAACACCAGGAGGUGGGGAUCAUAAAGACCACCCGAAAAAUUUUCCCCCACAGAGAGGCAAAGUGGUAUAAGAUAUGUGGUAGAGGUUCACUUAAUCUGCAGUUUAGCCAAAUGAUGCUUGACUAGGUGUAGGGGUUCAGUCAGGAUGGUGGGAGAAAUUGUGAAAUUAUAGGAAAUAAACACAAACCCUCUUGGAAGUCCUGGGGGUUUGCAUGGUUUCAGUAGUGUUUGGCUGAAGGCAGCUGAAUUCUCUUAAAAGCUUAGGGCAUAGAUACAUAGGAAUGUAGAGGAGUUUGUCUAAAUAACUUGUUUAUUCAUGUGGUCCUAAAACUAACCUUUGAUCAUUCAAGGGCAGGAUGGCUCUCUCAGGGAGAAGGCUACCAGGUUAAUUACCCUCUAAUGGUGUUGACCCAAAGCCUUUGUCAUUUAAUGUGUGCUAAAUAAAUGCCAGUAGGGCCAGCAAGUCAGGGCUGCAGCUGCAACUCUUUACACCACCUUCCUUGGUGUCUAUAAGUGGCCCAGACCCUCAGCCGGACUGACAGGCAAAAUAUCUGUGUCAGUAUAUGUUAUUCAUCCAUCAUUAAGUCAAGGUCUGCAGGACAAACCCCCACAGCUAGGUAUCAAAAUCAAGAUUAAGCAAAAACUAAGCCCAAAUCCAAAAAUCCUCAUUAUAUAUUGAAAUUCCAGUAUACAGGCAUAAAUUUGAAAAUAUGUCAAAAUAUUAAUCAUAACAAAUUUAUUAUUAAAAUGUUAGUAGCCAAUUUUUAAAAGUUUAUUAUUACAAUCUGGGAACAAAAUUCCCAAGUACUAUCACACUGCCUACCACACUGUUGAUCUUUCCUUCACAGCAUUUUUACAUCCACAACUCUAUAUUUACUUGUAUGAAUAGCUGAUUAAUAUUUGAAUCCUGUGCUAGACUGUAAUCUCCAAGAGAGCAGGAGCCUGUGUCCAGUUUUGCUCAUAGUACUACUUUUGGUGGAAUAGGAUUUUUUGGCUCCCAUAUUCCCUUUGAUCCUACCCAUCCUCACUCAGGAGACUUUAGCAUCAUUAAAUUGCAUCAAAGUUAUUCUAUCAAUGGUAUUCAGGAAAUGACAAGAGAAGGGUUUGGAACAAGAGAGUUAACUUUAAAUUUGUUUAAUAAUUGUGAAAAUUUGGAAAUAACCUAAAUGUCCAACAGUAAAAGAAUUGGGUGUUUUUUUGUUUGUUUGUUUGUUUGUUUGUUUGAGGUGGGGUCUUACUCUGUGGCCCAGACUGGAGUACAGUGGCAUAAUCAUAGCUCACUGCAGCUUCAAACUCCUGAGCUCAAGUGAUCCUCCUGCCUCGGCUUCCCAAUGUGUUAGGAUUACAGGCAUGAGGCACUGUGCCUGGCACUGGAAUUGUUACAUAUACCAUGGUACAUUCAAUCUAUGCAGGGAGAAUGGAUGCUACUUCUUUCUUUAUUUAGUGGUUACCUUGUCCAGGAUAAAGAAAACAAGUGAGGCUGUUGCCCAAGCAGUACCACAUGCAUUUCCUAAUAAUAAGGUAGCAAAAAAUUAAUUCAAACAUGUUUGUGUUCAAACUCUAAUUCUACCAAUCUUGGAUGACCAAAUGGAGGUCUACCUAUCCUGAAAAAGAUUUGUCUAAAGCAGUGGUUCUCAAAGUGUGGUCCUUGAAGCAACAAUGGCAGCAUCAUCUGGGAAUAUGUUAGAAAUACAAGUUUUUAAGUCCCAACUCAGACCUACUAAAUCAGCAAAUAUGGGAUUGGGGCCCAGCAUUCUAUUUUAACAAGCCCUCUAGCUGAUUCUGAUGUACACUCAAGUCGGUGACCCAAGACCCUUGGUUAUUUUUGCCUCUGACCACAAGGUGGCAACCUUUGUCUAAAGUCCUAUGAGUUGUCCAAUGGUUACGUUAGGUGUAAUCUUGUCUAGCCACUGAACUGUCCAGAGGCAGUAAGUAGUGAUGUGAUAUGGGGAUGUGAGGGAGAAGUGAGAGAUGGGAGAGGAAGAAAAGAGAUGAAAGGAAGAAUGGGGACUGGAGGAGGCUUUAUCUCUGCUUUGAACACAGCAAGUAAACUACAGUGAGGAGGUGGGACAAUGUUAGGGGUGCUGGUUGUUUAUCAUCUAACAAUUCAGCUCAUUCUGGAUAUAAAACAAUGUGAAGUAAUGUUGGGGAUUUUGUGUGCAGCCAAUUUUAUCUAUGCUUUUUAUCCUUGUAAUGCCUAGACACCACCCAAAGGCAAGCACCUCCUCACACUAUCACCUAUCCUCUUCCUACUCUCAUAAUAUAAUCGUGAAUUCCUUCCCCAGUUAUCUUCCAUCACAGAAUCCCCUCUUUUUAAACCUUUCCACAGUUCUCCCGGGUGCCCUGUUGCACAGUAAAAUAAGCUCAGCCUAUGAAAAUAUACAGAAAUGUUGUCCCUCUUAUUUGAACAUUUCCUGCACAUCUGUAAUUGAGACCUGGCACUCCACUGAAGAUUCUACUUCCCAUACAGCCCUCUCCGAUUAAAAUUGUUAAUUUUUUCAUUCCCCACAAAUUAUAGGGUUUUACCAAGAGGAUAGACGGGAGGAAAAUACAAAGACAGAAGUCUUAAAGGAGGGUAAACUUUUCUCAGCUCUGGUAAUGGUAUCCAUGCAGACAUGUCACCCAACACCUUAACUUCUCAGUUCUGUUGAAUGCCUCAAUUCUACUUCGCUUCAACCACUGUCACCCAGGACACAUAGUGGAUGUUUUCAACAUUUAGAGGAAAUCCACACUGUAAAUCAUUUUUGAAUCACUUAUAUUUUUCUUCUUUCCUAUUUUCUACAAAAUAGGAUGAAUUUUCUUCUUCUGGUUUACAGGUUAUAACUGCCAUUUUGGUUCUUAUUUUAGUUGCCCUUAACUAACAAAUACCCAUGUUAAUUUAACCAUAUUAGUUUCUUAAAUUUAUCAGUAUCUACAUUUUUCUCUUAACAUUACAAGUACUUGAAAAUGUUCUCAUGUUUUUUGAGUUCCACCACACCUUCCCCAUCACUUUGAUAAUGUUUAAAAAUAUCUGUUCUGAGUUACUAUGGAUAUACACUUUUUCUUCUUUUCUGCUCAGUAUUUAAUUAUCAAGUCAGCAAUAAACUAUACUACCAGUGUAUAUUUGCCCUUACUCCCCAUGUCUUUGCAGCAUCUCCUGUAUUUUUUUCCUUUCUAAUUUGAAGACCUCCUCCAAAAUUGUCUUCAAUGAGGGUCUUUGUGUGACAAACCUUCUGAGAUAGUGCAUGCCACAGAAUAUAUUUAUUACUAUGCUACAUUUAAGUUAAAAAAUGGGCUGGGCACAGGGGCUCAUGCCUGUAAUUCCAGCACUUUGGGAGGCCGAGGUGGGUGGAUCACUUGAGGUCAGGGGUUCAAUACCAGCUUGGCCAACAUGGUGAAACCCUGUCUCUACUAAAAAUACAAAAACUGGCCCGGCACGGUGGCUCACUCCUGUAAUCCCAGCACUUUGGGAGGCUGAGGCAGGCGGAUCAUGAGGUCAGGAGAUGGAGACCAUCCUGGCUAACACGGUGAAACCCUGUUUCUACUAAAAAUACAAAAAAUUAGCUGGGCGUGGUGGCACGCACCGUAGUCCCAGCUACUCGAGAGGCUGAGGCAGGAGAAUUGCUUGAACCUGGGAGGUGGAGGUGGCAAUGAGUCGAGAUCACGCCACUGUACUCUAGCCUGUGCAACAGAGCGAGACUCCGUCUCAAAAAAUUUAUAAAAAUAAAUAAAUUAAUUAAUUUAAAAAUGGCUGAAUAUAAAAUUAUAGGUUCAAAGUCAUUUUAAACAUUAUAGGUCCAGUCCUUUAAAAUAUUGUCUUCUUGUAUUCAAUGUUGCUAAAAGUCUGUUGUCAAUUUAAUUCCUUUCUUUGUAGAGGACUUGAUUUUUCUCUCUGGAAACUUUGAGAAGUUUAAGUUCUGUGAUUGUGUGUGUGCGUGUAUGUGUGCAUGCAUUUACCUUCUCUGUAUUAGUCUAUGUCAGCCUCAUUGUGUUUGAAGAGUGAGGAAAGGAGAGCCCCAGGUAGCUCAGAACAUGUUAAUAAUUCCCAUUUGCUGCCACUCUAUAAGCAACUGAUAUGAUCAAGGCUUCAUCUUAAAACUUGUUUGAAAGAAGCAGUGCUGGGGGGGUAUCAGUGUCCCAGGUUGUAACUCAUCAACUUUGGGGAUUUGAAAAGGGUGGAGGACUGAAUGAACAAUGGAGCAGGGGAGUCCCUAUCUGUUUUCAACAGCCUCCCACUCAACCAAGCAGGGCUUUUUUGCUGCCCUGAUAUACUCUGAUACACCCUCCAUACACUGGUAACUAUGGUUGGAGAUAUUUCUGCCGAUUUCUGUAGUGAAGGGUAGAUAAUGUAGGUAGGCAAUUGGAGGAGAGACAAGAACAAAACUUUUAAAGCUUUCCUUAAAUUUAUCCUCUCACUGCUGCUCCCAACUACCCUCU
Pan troglodytes (chimpanzee) is the source of this 20297-nucleotide RNA transcript. It is a transcript of the gene named shroom family member 4, with no coding region annotated. The record is from RefSeq and is a predicted model, not a curated record. NCBI's taxonomy places the organism in Eukaryota, Metazoa, Chordata, Mammalia, Primates, Hominidae. The transcript has 10 exons.